Molecule: ribosomal RNA, 417 nt
Filed under: uncultured Gammaproteobacteria bacterium
Lineage: Bacteria; Pseudomonadati; Pseudomonadota; Gammaproteobacteria
Description: bacterial SSU rRNA
Rfam family: Bacterial small subunit ribosomal RNA
Source: RNAcentral
GAGUUUGAUCGUGGCUCAGAGUGAACGCUGGCGGCAGGCCUAACACAUGCAAGUCGAGCGGCAGCGCGGGGGCAACCCUGGCGGCGAGCGGCGGACGGGUGAGGAAUGCAUCGGAAUCUACCUCGUUGUGGGGGAUAACCUCGGGAAACCGGGACUAAUACCGCAUACGACCUACGGGUGAAAGUGGGGGACCGCAAGGCCUCACGCGAUGAGAUGAGCCGAUGCCGGAUUAGCUAGUUGGCGGGGUAAAGGCCCACCAAGGCGACGAUCCGUAGCUGGUCUGAGAGGAUGAUCAGCCACACUGGAACUGAGACACGGUCCAGACUCCUACGGGAGGCAGCAGUGGGGAAUAUUGGACAAUGGGCGCAAGCCUGAUCCAGCCAUGCCGCGUGUGUGAAGAAGGCCUUCGGUUGUAAG